This 476-nucleotide ribosomal RNA is filed under the name uncultured Akkermansia sp. RNAcentral's name for it is "partial 16S ribosomal RNA". Lineage: Bacteria; Pseudomonadati; Verrucomicrobiota; Verrucomicrobiia; Verrucomicrobiales; Akkermansiaceae. The record is from RNAcentral.
CACAGAGUUAGCCGUCUCCUCCUCUUGUGGUACUAUCUUUUUAAUUUGCUCCCACAUGACAGGGGUUUACAAUCCGAAGACCUUCAUUCCCCACGCGGCGUCGCACCAUCAGGGUUUCCCCCAUUGUGAAUGAUUCUCGACUGCUGCCACCCGUAGGUGUCUGGACCGUGUCUCAGUUCCAGUGUGGCCGGACAUCCUCUCAGACCGGCUACCCGUCAUCGCCUUGGUGAGCCGUUACCUCACCAACUAACUAAUAGGCCGCGAGCCCAUCCCCAAGCGCAUUGCUGCUUUAAUCUUUCGAUACUAUGCGGUAUUAAUCCCAGUUUCCCAGGGCUAUCCCGCUCUCGGGGGCAGGUUACUCACGUGUUACUCACCCGUGCGCCACUAGAGAAUUAUUAGCAAGCUAGCAAUUCUCCCGUUCGACUUGCAUGUCUUAUCCACGCCGCCAGCGUUCGUUCUGAGCCAGGAUCAAACUC